CGGACGGGUGAGUAACGCGUGGACAACCUACCCCGCACUGGGGGACAACAGCCGGAAACGGCUGCUAAUACCGCAUAUGCGCACGGCCCCGCAUGGGGCCGCGCGGAAAGCGCAUGCGGUGCGGGAUGGGUCCGCGUCUGAUUAGCUUGUUGGCGGGGUAACGGCCCACCAAGGCGACGAUCAGUAGCCGGCCUGAGAGGGUGGACGGCCACAUUGGGACUGAGACACGGCCCAG
Molecule: ribosomal RNA, 235 nt
Filed under: uncultured Bacillota bacterium
Lineage: Bacteria; Bacillati; Bacillota
Description: uncultured Firmicutes bacterium partial 16S ribosomal RNA
Rfam family: Bacterial small subunit ribosomal RNA
Source: RNAcentral